AGAGUUUGAUCCUGGCUCAGGAUGAACGCUAGCGGCAGGCCUAAUACAUGCAAGUCGAACGAGACUUAGUAGCAAUACUAAGUUUAGUGGCGCACGGGUGCGUAACACGUAUGCAAUCUACCCUUUACUUAGGAAUAGCCCGGAGAAAUUCGGAUUAAUACCUAAUAAUAAGUUUGUGUGGCAUCACAUGGAUUUUAAAGAUUUAUCGGUAAAGGAUGAGCAUGCGGAUGAUUAGCUAGUUGGUGAGGUAAUGGCUCACCAAGGCGACGAUCAAUAGGGGUUCUGAGAGGAAGAUCCCCCACACUGGCACUGAGAUACGGGCCAGACUCCUACGGGAGGCAGCAGUAGGGAAUAUUGGGCAAUGGUCGCGAGACUGACCCAGCCAUGCCGCGUGAAGGAAGAAGGCUUUCUGAGUUGUAAACUUCUUUUAUCUGGGAAUAAAAUACCCUUGCGAGGGGAACUGAAGGUACCAGAUGAAUAAGCACCGGCUAACUCCGUGCCAGCAGCCGCGGUAAUACGGAGGGUGCAAGCGUUGUCCGGAUUUAUUGGGUUUAAAGGGUGCGUAGGUGGCUUAUUAAGUCAGUGUUUAAAGUCUGCAGCUCAACUGUAGGAAUGGCAUUGAUACUGAUGAGCUUGAGUAAAGUUGAGGUAGACAGAAUUGAUGGUGUAGCGGUGAAAUGCAUAGAUAUCAUCAAGAAUACCGAUUGCGAAGGCAGUUUACUAAGCUUUAACUGACACUGAGGCACGAAAGUGUGGGGAUCAAACAGGAUUAGAUACCCUAGUAGUCC
Molecule: ribosomal RNA, 788 nt
Filed under: uncultured bacterium
Lineage: Bacteria
Description: bacterial SSU rRNA
Rfam family: Bacterial small subunit ribosomal RNA
Source: RNAcentral